AGUUUGAUCAUGGCUCAGGACGAACGCUGGCGGCGUGCUUAACACAUGCAAGUCGAACGAUGAACCACUUCGGUGGGGAUUAGUGGCGAACGGGUGAGUAACACGUGGGCAAUCUGCCCUUCACUCUGGGACAAGCCCUGGAAACGGGGUCUAAUACCGGAUAGCACUUCCACUCGCAUGGGUGGGGGUUGAAAGCUCCGGCGGUGAAGGAUGAGCCCGCGGCCUAUCAGCUUGUUGGUGAGGUAAUGGCUCACCAAGGCGACGACGGGUAGCCGGCCUGAGAGGGCGACCGGCCACACUGGGACUGAGACACGGCCCAGACUCCUACGGGAGGCAGCAGUGGGGAAUAUUGCACAAUGGGCGAAAGCCUGAUGCAGCGACGCCGCGUGAGGGAUGACGGCCUUCGGGUUGUAAACCUCUUCAGCAGGGAAGAAGGAAACGAAAGUGACGGUACCUGCAGAAGAAGCGCCGGCUAACUACGUGCCAG
This 487-nucleotide ribosomal RNA is filed under the name Streptomyces sp. RNAcentral describes it as "bacterial SSU rRNA". It matches the Rfam family "Bacterial small subunit ribosomal RNA", at positions 10 to 511 of the family's 1533-position model. The record is from RNAcentral. Lineage: Bacteria; Bacillati; Actinomycetota; Actinomycetes; Kitasatosporales; Streptomycetaceae.